AGAACUACACAACUUUUAAUGCUGACAAUGGAGCAACUGGAAUAGUUAGAGAUAGUGUCUAUCUUGGUUCAAUCAUCAAUCCAAAUGGAGACUGCAGCCAGGAAAUCAGAAGACAACAGAGACUAGGAAGGGCAUCAAUCCAGAAACUAGAUUGGAUUUCCCCAAGCCAGUUGCUAAAGGGCACUUUUCUGGAGGACCCACUUUGGGGUUAUAUAACUUGGAUGUCUGAACACUAAUCUUCACCAAGCUUGGAGGGAUUGUAGUGGGGAGUCAUUAGAAGCUUGCCUGUAAUGUUGGUGUCUCUAGGUGCCUUGGGGGGGUGACUUUCUGGGGGGGCUCCCUUUGGGUUUAGAAUUUGAAUGUCCAAAACUCAAACUUCACCAAACCAAACCUAGAAGAUUUGUAGAGGGGAGUCAGGGGAAGCUUCUCUGUGAAUCUGGUGUCUUUAGGAGGUUGGGGACCAUUUCAUAGGGUUUUAAAUUCUAAAAUGAAUUGACAAAUCAGUUUGUCAGUUCAUCAGAGAAAAAUUGUAAAUUCAGAAUUUGUCAAUCUUGACAAAUUACAAAUCAAAAUGAAUUACCAUUUUUCUGAUUUGUGCCCGUUUCCACAAGAUUGUUCUGCAUGUGUCAUGUGUGAUAACCCUUCUCUUUUGCCUCCAUGACUUGUUGAUUUUGUCCUCUACUCUCUUUCCUUUCCUUUUCCUUUCCUUUCCUUUCCUUUCCUAUGUUUUCCUUUUCUUUUCUUCCUCCCUCCCUCCCUUCGCAGCAAAUGCCAUCUGGUGUCACAGAUGCCCAAAGUCAGAGAGCUGUCUAGAACCACCAGGAUUCUGUUGGGCAGACGAGGGAGCUGGCUGUUACACAGGGAAUCUCUACAUUGGUUGGAUUUCCUGAGGUACAUCCAGAUGCAACUCUUACACAGCUCUCAACCACUUAUUUCCAUUGAGUCUUCUGGU
RNAcentral lists this long non-coding RNA (952 nucleotides) under Pogona vitticeps (central bearded dragon). Its description in RNAcentral is "lncRNA (ENSPVIG00000006003.1)". Lineage: Eukaryota; Metazoa; Chordata; Lepidosauria; Squamata; Agamidae. The record is from RNAcentral.